This 216-nucleotide unclassified non-coding RNA is filed under the name Levilactobacillus hammesii. Its description in RNAcentral is "Lactobacillus hammesii 16S-23S ribosomal RNA small intergenic spacer". Lineage: Bacteria; Bacillati; Bacillota; Bacilli; Lactobacillales; Lactobacillaceae. The record is from RNAcentral.
CUAAGGAAUAUACGGAGGCUACACAUACUUUGUCGAAACAAUGGUCAGUUUUGAGAGGUCUACUCUCAAACUUGUUCUUUGAAAACUAGAUAUUAUCAAUUAUUUUCCUUUAAUUAUUAAGAUAAUUAAACCGAGAAACAACUGCGUACUUUUGAGUUUUUUAAUUAGUUUAUAUCGCUAAUACUCAAUUAAUCAGCGAUUACGAAGUAAUCGUUA